Sceloporus undulatus (fence lizard) is the source of this 1595-nucleotide RNA transcript. It is a transcript of the gene named Yip1 domain family member 2, with no coding region annotated. NCBI's taxonomy places the organism in Eukaryota, Metazoa, Chordata, Lepidosauria, Squamata, Phrynosomatidae. The transcript has 8 exons. The record is from RefSeq and is a predicted model, not a curated record.
ACCUGAUGUUUUUAAUGCAGAAUUCAAUGAGGCCAUGGAUUUGCUUUCAGUGAAUGCCAAUGCCACCACCACUCCUAGUGUUAGUGAGCAGCAAGGCUACACCACCCUGAAUAUGUCUUCUGGCUAUAAUGAAGAACCUGAGCCAGAGGAAGAGGAUGAUAAAACUGAGCUGCUGAGUUCCCAGAAGAAGCAGUCCAGUUUCUGGACCUUUGAAUAUUACCAAACAUUCUUUGAUGUUGACACAUAUCAGGUGCUGGACAGGAUAAAGGGGUCAGUUUUUCCAGUGCCAGGGAAGAAUUUUAUAUGGCAUCGCUUGCGGAACAACCCUGACCUGUAUGGACCCUUCUGGAUUUGUGCCACCUUGGUCUUCACACUGGCAAUCAGUGGCAAUUUAUCUAACUUCCUGGAGAAAAUGGGCAGCCCUUCCUUCCAUUACAGCCCCCAGUUCCAUAAAGUGACUAUUGCGGCAGUAGUUAUCUACUGCUAUGCCUGGCUUGUUCCCCUUGGCCUGUGGGGUUGUCUGCAGUGGCGGAGGGGAACUCACAUCCAUGCAGACUCCUACACACUCUUGGAGAUGGUGUGCAUCUAUGGCUACUCCCUGUUUGUGUACAUUCCCACUGCGGUCCUAUGGUUGAUCCCAGUGCCAUGGUUGCAGUGGCUCCUCAUCAUAUUUGCAAUGGGGCUGUCUGGCUCAGUUCUGGUCCUCACUUUCUGGCCAAUUAUCCGCUCAGACACCAAGCUCGCUGCCUGUGCCAUACUGGCUAUCAUUAUUUCGCUCCAUAUCCUCCUGGCUAUUGGCUGCAAGCUAUAUUUCUUCCAGAAACCAAUCGCCGCCACCACUCCCCCCCCUGCCCUCCAUACAACAGCAGUCCAGCAUAGCAGAAGCACACACCCUCACCAGACCAACAGCUCAGCCAAUCUGUCAAUGUGAAGGAGGAUGCUGGCAAAAGUCUCAGUACAGUAGGUUCUGAAAAUGCUGUGGCUCUCAAACACUGUCUUUUCUGAAGACCCCACCACCCUACUGAUGAAAAUAGUGGAACCAGGAUUUUGAUUAUGAAUGUCUUGCCUCAGGAAAGCCCAGGGACAGAGGAGAGUGCACAAAUGCAAAAGUAAUCCAGCUCAAGAGGCAACACCUGGCCUGGGACAAGGAGGCUGCAGUGGGUCAAUCUAUAUCCCACCACCAUUUCAAUAUUUGCCAGUCAGGGCAGCAAGGUGUCCAAUUCAGAAAUCAGUGAAGAGGUCUGGCAGCUUAGAUCAUGAAGUGCUGCGUUUUGCUCCCUCACAGCAGGAUGGGACUGCAGCAGUGACAUGAGACUGAAGAAAGGAGCUGUGUGGAGCAUUGACUGUUAUGUCCCUUCUAGGUAAACCUAAGAUUUUUAUAUGUUUUGUCUGUAACAGUAGGGAAAGAUGUGAAAAUAAGUCAAAUGAAUUUGUGCACAUCCUGCUGUCUGUUGAGGAAUGACAGAUUAUCAACUGUAGAAGUAUCAGUAUGUCACUGGGUGGACGGGAAGGAGGGUUAAGGACUACUUUGAUACAAUGUGUUGAUUUUGUUUUCUAUGCAAAUCUAAUAUAAAUUAAACUGUCUUCUAACAGUA